This is a long non-coding RNA of Eleginops maclovinus (Patagonian blennie), 1059 nucleotides long. RefSeq lists it as uncharacterized. NCBI's taxonomy places the organism in Eukaryota, Metazoa, Chordata, Actinopteri, Perciformes, Eleginopidae. The transcript is spliced from 3 exons. The record is from RefSeq and is a predicted model, not a curated record.
AGUGCUGUGUGACGGCAUUCCACACACCGACCUUCCCUGUAUGGCUUGUAGCCACCAGCUGGUUCCCAAUAAAGAAGAGAUCGUCCACAGGAUGAUGUUGCUUUCAGAGGCAGCGGCCACCAUCUUGUCCUUGUCUCCAUGUGGGCCUCCCACCACCUUGGCGUUUAGUGCGAUGCGUUCAAUGGUCCAGUCAAGGUGAGCCAGAGAGGGAUGGGUGAGGAGGGGGACCCACACGGGUGAAGCCCUCUGCUCCAUUUGGACCCGACCGCUCAUCAGAGGAGGGGCCAUGGGCUGCUGAGGCAGGGCCUAACUUCCGGGCAGGGAUGGCUGUCAAGAUAAUAUACACUGACAUUUAUAAAUAGAAAGAUGUGCAGAUUUGUAUUUUUAUAUUGCUCUGUGAUGAAAACUGAUGUCCUUCCUUGAAACGUAUGUUUAGUGUAUUGGGUAAUCAGAUCUCUCUCUGUUCCACUGAGUUUCAGGUCUUUACCUGGGGGCGGCAGGUAGCCAUGGAAGAGAACGCUACCACAAGAUGAGCGGUCUAGUUCCUCACACAGCAGCAGGCGCCGUACUACACACACACACAAAUACAUUGAAUUACUUUUGUAAUUACUGUCAAACAUCAAAAUAUAAACACUGCUUGAAAUAAUGGAAUGCAUGAUUGUAGUUAUUGAUGCUAAAUUAGUCUUGCUGUUGAUAGACUUUAAACUGAUACGAUACUGCUUUUGAGUUGAGGGCAUGGUCUGUGAUUUAAAUCGUACGUAAUAUUUUGCAGGGUAUUGUAUGUAAUUCGGUGAAUAUUAUGAUUUUAAGCAGGUGAUCCGUUUACACAAAGGUAAAUUUCCUAUUCAGGCUCAGACAAUGCAGGGAAGUUACAAAGACUGAAACAGGAAGUUGAACCACAUUAGAGCACACGGAAACAACGGUAAUAAGGUUUUGACCCUGGUCAGGUGGCUUUUGAAGCCAAAACAACAUUAGUUGUUACACAAAAAGGUUUCCCUUUUAAUAUAUCAUUCAAUGAUGUUAGUUUACUACAGAUGUUCAAAUUGUACCCCAAAAAGC